RNAcentral lists this ribosomal RNA (253 nucleotides) under uncultured bacterium. Its description in RNAcentral is "partial 16S ribosomal RNA". It matches the Rfam family "Bacterial small subunit ribosomal RNA", at positions 524 to 776 of the family's 1533-position model. The record is from RNAcentral.
UACGUAGGGUGCAAGCGUUGUCCGGAAUUAUUGGGCGUAAAGGGCUCGUAGGCGGUCUGUCACGUCGGGAGUGAAAACUCAGGGCUUAACCCUGAGCCUGCUUCCGAUACGGGCAGACUAGAGGUAUGCAGGGGAGAACGGAAUUCCUGGUGUAGCGGUGAAAUGCGCAGAUAUCAGGAGGAACACCGGUGGCGAAGGCGGUUCUCUGGGCAUUACCUGACGCUGAGGAGCGAAAGCGUGGGGAGCAAACAGG